RNAcentral lists this ribosomal RNA (451 nucleotides) under uncultured bacterium. RNAcentral's name for it is "partial 16S ribosomal RNA". It matches the Rfam family "Bacterial small subunit ribosomal RNA", at positions 29 to 523 of the family's 1533-position model. The record is from RNAcentral.
AGCGAACGCUGGCGGCAGGCUUAACACAUGCAAGUCGAGCGGGCAUCUUCGGGUGUCAGCGGCGGACGGGUGAGUAACGCGUGGGAACGUGCCUUCUGGUUCGGAAUAACUCAGGGAAACUUGAGCUAAUACCGGAUACGCCCUUUUGGGGAAGGGUUUACUGCCGGAAGAUCGGCCCGCGCCUGAUUAGCUAGUUGGUGGGGUAACGGCCGACCAAGGCGACGAACAGUAGCUGGUCUGAGAGGAUGAUGAGCCACACUGGGACUGGGACACGGGCCAGACUCCUACGGGAGGGAGCAGUGGGGAAUAUUGGACAAUGGGGGCAACCCUGAUCCAGCCAUGCCGCGUGAGUGAUGAAGGCCUGAGGGUUGUAAAGCUCUUUUAUCCGGGACGAUAAUGACGGUACCGGAGGAAUAAGCCCCGGCUAACUUCGUGCCAGCCGCCGCCGUAA